RNAcentral lists this ribosomal RNA (484 nucleotides) under uncultured bacterium. Its description in RNAcentral is "partial 16S ribosomal RNA". It matches the Rfam family "Bacterial small subunit ribosomal RNA", at positions 29 to 507 of the family's 1533-position model. The record is from RNAcentral.
AUUGAACGCUGGCGGAAUGCUUUACACAUGCAAGUCGAGCGGCAGCGCGGCCUUCGGGCUGGCGGCGAGCGGCGAACGGGUGAGUAAUGCAUCGGAACAUGCCCAGUCGUGGGGGAUAACACUUCGAAAGAAGUGCUAAUACCGCAUACGUCCUGAGGGGGAAAGCGGGGGAUCGCAAGACCUCGCGCGAUUGGAGUGGCCGAUGUCAGAUUAGCUAGUUGGUGGGGUAAGGGCCUACCAAGGCGACGGUCUGUAGCUGGUCUGAGAGGAUGAUCAGCCACACUGGGACUGAGACACGGCCCAGACUCCUACGGGAGGCAGCAGUGGGGAAUUUUGGACAAUGGGGGCAACCCUGAUCCAGCCAUUCCGCGUGAGUGAAGAAGGCCUUCGGGUUGUAAAGCUCUUUCGGCAGGAACGAAACGGUGGGCUCUAACAUAGUCCGCUAAUGACGGUACCUGAAGAAGAAGCACCGGCUAACUACGUG